AUAUGUCACUUAUUAUCCAUUCAU
Molecule: non-coding RNA, 24 nt
Filed under: Arabidopsis thaliana (thale cress)
Lineage: Eukaryota; Viridiplantae; Streptophyta; Magnoliopsida; Brassicales; Brassicaceae
Source: RNAcentral